AUUGAACGCUGGCGGCAGGCUUAACACAUGCAAGUCGAGCGGGGGAAGGUAGCUUGCUACUGGACCUAGCGGCGGACGGGCGAGUAAUGCUUAGGAAUCUGCCUAUUAGUGGGGGACAACAUCUCGAAAGGGAUGCUAAUACCGCAUACGUCCUACGGGAGAAAGCAGGGUAUCUUCGGACCUUGAGCUCAUAGAUGAGCCUAAGUCGGAUUAGCUAGUUGGUGGGGUAAAGGCCUACCAAGGCGACGAUCUGUAGCGGGUCUGAGAGGAUGAUCCGCCACACUGGGACUGAGACACGGCCCAGACUCCUACGGGAGGCAGCAGUGGGGAAUAUUGGACAAUGGGGGGAACCCUGAUCCAGCCAUGCCGCGUGUGUGAAGAAGGCCUUAUGGUUGUAAAGCACUUUAAGCGAGGAGGAGGCUACUUUAGUUAAUACCUAGAGAUAGUGGACGUUACUCGCAGAAUAAGCACCGGCUAACUCUGUGCCAGCCGCCGCCGUAA
This 501-nucleotide ribosomal RNA is filed under the name uncultured bacterium. RNAcentral describes it as "partial 16S ribosomal RNA". It matches the Rfam family "Bacterial small subunit ribosomal RNA", at positions 30 to 523 of the family's 1533-position model. The record is from RNAcentral.